GGCUUACGGGUAGUUGGUCUGAGAGGAUGAUCAGCAACACUGGGACUGAGACACUGCCCAGACUCCUACGGGAGGCUGCAGUCGAGAAUCAUUGUCAAUGCACAAAAGUGUGAACAUGGACGCCGUGAGAAGACCGCCUCGAGUUGUAAACUCCUGUCAGCAGGGAGUAAGAUGGAAUCUCUAAUACAGAUUUCAUUGAUAGUACUGCAGAGGAAGUCACGGCUAACUCUGUGCCAGCAGCCGCGGAAAUACAGAGGUGGCGAACGUUGUUCGGAUUUACUGGGCGUAAAGGGUCCGCAGGCGGUCUUGUGUGUCGGGUGUGAAAGCUCACGGCUCAACCGUGGAAUUGCAUUCGAAACUGCAGGACUAGAGUACUGGAGGGGAGAAGGGAACACUUGGUGUAGCGGUGAAAUGCGUAGAUAUCAAGUGGAACACCGGAGGCGAAGGCGCUUCUCUGGACAGAUACUGACGCUCAUGGACGAAAGUUAGGGUCGCGAAAGGGAUUAGAUACCCCUGUAGUCCUAACUGUAAACGGUGUGCGCUAGGCGUGGGUGGCUUUACCCCCAUCCGUGCCUGAGCUAACGCAUUAAGCGCACCGCCUGGGGAGUACGGUCGCAAGAUUAAAACUCAAAGGAAUUGACGGGGACCCGCACAAGCGGUGGAGCAUGUGGCUUAAUUCGAUGCAACGCGAAGAACCUUACCUGGGCUUGACAUAUAGCUGCAUCCGACCCGAAAGGGACGGAGCCUUCGAGGGUGCUAUACAGGUGCUGCAUGGCUGUCGUCAGCUCGUGCCGUGAGGUGUUGGGUUAAGUCCCGCAACGAGCGCAACCCCUGUGUUUAGUUGCCAGCACGUAAUGGUGGGAACUCUAAAAAGACUGCCUGUGAAAGCAGGACGAGGUGGGGAUGACGUCAAGUCAGUAUGGUCCUUAUGUCAAGGACUGCACACGUGCUACAAUGGGACAAACAGUACCAGGCGAAAACGCCAGGUGGAGCAAAUCCUCAAAACAUCCCCCAGUUCGGAUUGUAGUCUGAAACUCGACUACAUGAAGUUGGAAUCGCUAGUAAAGGCGUAUCAGCUACGACGCCUUGAAUACGUUCCCGGGUCUUGUACUCACCGCCCGUC
This 1123-nucleotide ribosomal RNA is filed under the name uncultured microorganism. Its description in RNAcentral is "bacterial SSU rRNA". It matches the Rfam family "Bacterial small subunit ribosomal RNA", at positions 274 to 1398 of the family's 1533-position model. The record is from RNAcentral.